Molecule: ribosomal RNA, 274 nt
Filed under: uncultured bacterium
Lineage: Bacteria
Description: partial 16S ribosomal RNA
Rfam family: Bacterial small subunit ribosomal RNA
Source: RNAcentral
AUACGGCGGGGACUAGCGUUGUUCGGAAUUACUGGGCGUAAAGAGUUCGUAGGCGGACUGAUAAGUAAGAGGUGAAAUCCCAGGGCUCAACCCUGGAACUGCCUUUUAAACUGUCAGUCUAGAGACCGGAAGAGGUUAGGGGAAUACCUAGUGUAGAGGUGAAAUUCGUAGAUAUUAGGUGGAACACCAGUGGCGAAGGCGCCUAACUGGUCCGGUACUGACGCUGAGGAACGAAAGCGUGGGGAGCAAACAGGAUUAGAUACCCUAGUAGUCC